GUUUGCUACUGCUGUAACUGCGGGGAAUGAGGGGAGGGUGUAUGUGCUGAAUGGAUAUGUCAAUGAGUGGUUAAAUGGUAAUUUGGGAAGGGAGAUGUUUGGGAUUGAAGAAAUGAGGUCUGCCAAAGAGAGUGAAGAAGAAAGGGUUUGGGUAUAUCUAUUGGUUGGCUUUGGUUUGGCUUAUUUCUUGUUUUGGAGAUUUCAGAUGAAGCAACU
Molecule: unclassified non-coding RNA, 216 nt
Filed under: Hevea brasiliensis (rubber tree)
Lineage: Eukaryota; Viridiplantae; Streptophyta; Magnoliopsida; Malpighiales; Euphorbiaceae
Source: RNAcentral